UAUAAAGUCUAACCUGCCCACUGAUAAUUAUUAAAGGGCCGCGUUAUUUUGACUGUGCAAAGGUAGCAUAAUCAUUUGUCUCUUAAUUGGAGGCUGGAAUGAAUGGUUGAAUGAAAUAUUAACUGUCUCAUUUUUAAAAUUAUAAAAAUUUAGCUUUUAAGUCAAAAGGCUUAAAUAAAUUUAGAGGACGAGAAGACCCUAUAGAUCUUUAUAAUUUUAUUAUUUUUAUAAAAUAGUUAAAUAAUUAAUAAAAUUAAUAAAAUUAUUUUAUUGGGGUGAUAGGAAAAUUUAAUAAACUUUUUUUAUUUAUAAACAUUGAUUUAUGAUUAAUUGAUCCAUUUUUAGUGAUUAUAAGAUUAAGUUACCUUAGGGAUAACAGCGUAAUUUUUUUAGAGAGUUCUUAUCGAUAAAAAAGAUUGCGACCUCGAUGUUGAAUUAAAGGUUAUUUCUAGAUGUAGCAGUUUAGAGUUUAGG
Molecule: ribosomal RNA, 474 nt
Filed under: Chrysoperla rufilabris
Lineage: Eukaryota; Metazoa; Arthropoda; Insecta; Neuroptera; Chrysopidae
Description: partial 16S large subunit ribosomal RNA
Rfam family: Bacterial large subunit ribosomal RNA
Source: RNAcentral